This is a long non-coding RNA of Archocentrus centrarchus (flier cichlid), 648 nucleotides long. RefSeq lists it as uncharacterized. NCBI's taxonomy places the organism in Eukaryota, Metazoa, Chordata, Actinopteri, Cichliformes, Cichlidae. The transcript has 4 exons. The record is from RefSeq and is a predicted model, not a curated record.
CUGGUUGAUUGACGGGUGAAGGGACUGUUAUCGAAAGGUAAUAUGGAUCAAGGUAAAAGACCAAAGGAGCCAUCAGGUGCACAGUUUAGAAAAAGAAGAAAAGAAGAAGAGGAGAAACCGGCAAAGCAUAAAGGUUGAGAAAAGGAAUAUCUUCAGUGAGCGAGGUAAUGUCUUGCAUCCUGUCAACUCUGAUGAGGAGGAGGAUGGCUACGACUCACCCCAUGCAAGGAGGAGAGGUGCCUCGGUGGAUGAAUUCCGCAGAGGCUCAGAGUUAGGCAGACAGCACCAUCAUUACCACUACAACCACAGCGACGAGUACUACACAGAGAGCAGCCGAGGAUCUGACCUGUCUGACAUACUGGAGGAGGACGAGGAAGAUCUUUACUCUGAGAUGCAGCUGGAGGAGGGCCGCAGACACAGUAUCAACUCUCACAACACUCUUAAGGAGCUGCUGGGGCAUUUCAUGUGUUAUCUCCCAUGUGAACAUGCCCGUGUGUUUGUGGCUCUAUUUGACUAUGACCCCCUGUCCAUGGCUCCUAAUCCUGACGCUGCUGACGAGGAGCUGCCAUUCAAGGAAGGCCAGAUCAUCAAGGUGGUACACUGACUCUUCAAAUACCUACACAGAUAUGUUUCAUAUAGACCUCAACC